Molecule: ribosomal RNA, 253 nt
Filed under: uncultured bacterium
Lineage: Bacteria
Description: partial 16S ribosomal RNA
Rfam family: Bacterial small subunit ribosomal RNA
Source: RNAcentral
GACGUAGGGCGCAAGCGUUGUCCGGAUUUAUUGGGCGUAAAGAGCUCGUAGGCGGCUUGUUGCGUCGACUGUGAAAUCCCGCGGCUUAACUGCGGGCUUGCGGUCGAUACGGGCAGGCUCGAGUUCGGUAGGGGAGACUGGAAUUCCUGGUGUAGCGGUGAAAUGCGCAGAUAUCAGGAGGAACACCGGUGGCGAAGGCGGGUCUCUGGGCCGAUACUGACGCUGAGGAGCGAAAGCGUGGGGAGCGAACAGG